GUGGAGACGAGCCGAGUGCGUUUGGAAGGCAACCCCUACUGGGAAUCAAUCCUCCAACAUUGCGUCGGCCAUGAGGCGCUCACGGUGUUCCUGAACUCCUGACAAGAAUCCUGUAAAGGAACAUCAUUUAAAGGGUACUUUCAUCCCUCUCUGCAGCAGCCGGGCAGCAGUGUGUGUCGUGGCAGGAUGUGGGUACAAGAGUGGCUCAGAGAAAGAGAGAGAGACAGAGAGACAGAGGCACAGCACCAGUCUGAUACUCUACCUAGGAAAUCAAGUACCCAGAAACACAGCUCACGUUGAAAGAGGACAUUCAAACACAGGAGACAAAAAUACCUGCAGCUGAUCCCAGUAAUCUGAGUAUUUGAGGGGUGUUGAUUAACUUCUUACAUAAUUAUUCAGGGUGAAAGCUCUGUCUCGUCAAUGUGUAAACAGUCUGCACGCUUAAUGAAGAACAUGUUAGUUUUUUCUGCCAAUCAGAACGCUUCGGGCUUUCUUAAGCCUGCCUCCUCAACCAAUCAGAGGCCACCACCAGACAAAGAUAGCCAUACCAACAAACACCAAAAUAAUGCUGCUAAUAUGAAAGACACAGACCUGUUCAUGGAGAAAUGUGGCCACGGACGAUGUCCUUCCAAGGUUUUCCAGGCAGCCGAUGGAAAAAAAGGAGUGGGAAUUUCUUCUUUCACCCCUCCUCCUUCGUUCCUCAGCUA
Megalobrama amblycephala (Wuchang bream) is the source of this 707-nucleotide long non-coding RNA. RefSeq lists it as uncharacterized. NCBI's taxonomy places the organism in Eukaryota, Metazoa, Chordata, Actinopteri, Cypriniformes, Xenocyprididae. The record is from RefSeq and is a predicted model, not a curated record. The transcript is spliced from 4 exons.